This 1224-nucleotide ribosomal RNA is filed under the name Triticum aestivum (bread wheat). RNAcentral describes it as "partial small subunit ribosomal RNA". Lineage: Eukaryota; Viridiplantae; Streptophyta; Magnoliopsida; Poales; Poaceae. The record is from RNAcentral.
AUGGGGCCCAAUCAAUAUGCGUGUCCCGUAGCUCCGCCAGCCUUCUAUUUAUGCUCUCUCCCAUGGACGGAGAGAGGCAUCCAGAAGCAGAAGCAAAGCUCACACAAAGUCACAAGAAUGAUGAACCCAAAGAGCCGUGUCCAAGAGUGGGUGGCCGACCACAUCGAGCUCAUCCCGGGGAUGCCCGACGACGUCGCCGUCGACUGCCUGGCGCGCGUCCCGCACGGGUCCUACCGCUCGAUGCGCCGCGUGUGCCGCGGCUGGCGGAGCGCCGCCGCCGCCCCGGAGUUCGCCCUGGCGCGCGCCGAGGCCGGUGCCAACGAGGAUCUGGUCUUUCUCAUGCAGUUUGGCAACCCGGUGGCCGGGGACGACGGGGCGCCCGAGAACACCCCGGCGUACGGCGUGGCCGUGUACAACGUCACCACCGGGGAGUGGCACCGCGAGAGCUCGGCGCCGCCGGUGCCGAUGUUCGCCCAGUGCGCGGCCGUGGGCACCCGCGUCGCCGUGAUGGGCGGCUGGGACCCCAAGACCUUCGAGCCCGUGGCGGACGUCAACGUGCUGGACGCCGCCACCGGCGUCUGGCGCCGCGGCGCGCCGAUGCGGUCCGCGCGGUCCUUCUUCGCCUGCGCCGAGGCCGGGGGCAAGAUCUAUGUCGCCGGCGGCCAUGACAAGCUCAAGAACGCGCUAAAGACGGCCGAGGCGUACGACGCGGAGGCCGACGGCUGGGACCCGCUCCCGGACAUGUCGGAGGAGCGCGACGAGUGCGACGGCAUGGCCACCGUCGCCGGCGACCGGUUCCUGGCCGUGAGCGGGUACCGCACGGGGCGUCAGGGAGGAUUCGAGCGGGACGCCGAGUGGUUCGACCCGGCGACACGCGAGUGGCGCCGCUUGGAGCGCGUGCGCGCACCGCCUUCGGCGGCUCACGUGGUGGUGCGCGGGCGGGUGUGGUGCAUCGAGGGCACGGCCGUGAUGGAGUGGCGCGGGGAGCGCCGUGGCUGGCUCGAGGUGGGCCCUUACCCGCCUGGUCUGAAGGCCGGCACGGCGCGCGCGGUCGCCGUCGGCGGCGGCGAGCGCGUGGUGGUGACCGGCGCCAUCGAGUCCGAGGGAGGCGGCGGCGGGCACGCGCUGUGGGUGUUCGACGUCAAGUCCAAGAACUGGACCGUGGUGCGCCCUCCGCCGCAGUUCGCCGGCUUCGUCUUCUCCCUGGCCUCCGUCCGCGUGUGA